GUGACCUAAACAACACUCUUCUCUCCCACUCUGAGAAACUCCCCGAUUUCGCGUGACUCCGUCGUGCUAAUGGCGGCGGACUGAACCGAACGUUUAGCCACUCCAAACAAAACUCCACACCUUCUUUCUUCCGAUUCUAUCCUCUAUUUUCCCAUAGCCUCAUCGAAUCUCCCUAAUCGGAACCAUCCGUAUGAGGAGCCUAGAUGUCAAAUUCGGGAAUGAACGAUGGCGACGCGAAAUCCGGUUCCCCUAGCAUAUCGUUAAUAUUACCAGAUGACGACGACUUUGGAGGUGAUCAUCAAGAACAAGAUGAAGAGUAUACCUUCAGGGAAAACUGUUGCGGUGAUGGUGGAAUUGGAAUACACAGAUACGAGUCGCACUUGGAGUUGGAAUCGCAGCGGCACUAGAUGAAAGUGAGAGAGGGUCGCGCUUCCAGAUUGUGAACCGUGGCCUGUUGCAGGUUCUGAUGGUUGAUUGAAUACAGAUUGGUGAUGGGAGGUUGAGGAUUGAAGGGGAUAUGAAGAUGAUGAAGAAGAGAAAAAUUGAAGAUUUGUAAAUAUGAAGUAGAAGAGAAAGAUUGAAGAUGGAAGAGUGAAGAAAAUCAACCCCCUUGAAGAUGAUUGAAGGUUGUUGAUUGGAUGAGAUUGCUAUGGAUUGGUCUUACCUUUUAACUGUAGGUUACGAACUGUUUUGGCAUUGUAGGGCUUUGUUAAUGCAGAGAGCCUUUCGGUAGCCCACAUUUGAUGCCUGAAUGUAAUCCGUCAACAAGACGGAAGGUCCGCCUGAGGUAACGUCUUGGCGUUUCGGUGGGUAGCGGCUCGAUUGGGAUUUAGCGAAUCCUGUGUUGGACUAGGGAGUGCAUUGUAAAUUGCAUUGCCUUUGGAUAAGUUAUGUAUUAAAUAUGUUGAAUAUCAAAGAUGUUAAAAACUCCAAAUACCAUUUAUAUUAAUAGUUUGAAUUAA
Molecule: long non-coding RNA, 962 nt
Organism: Lathyrus oleraceus (garden pea)
Lineage: Eukaryota; Viridiplantae; Streptophyta; Magnoliopsida; Fabales; Fabaceae
Exons: 4
Source: RefSeq, a predicted model, not a curated record